UCCUCUGAGAGAAACUCAUGAGGCCACACCCACUGUGGCUCCUGCUUCCCGCCUCCAGGUUGGGAUUUCCUUACCCCGCCCCGGGCGGCUUCUGGCCAACGAAUGUGAGACAGUAGAGCGAGGAGACCUAAACUCUUAAACCUUGUCAUCGGAAGACCCACCUAGUUUGUAUUAACGGAUUAAGUCUAGUCCUGUUUGAAAAUUAUGGACGUUCUGUCUUUCCAAACUUAAGUUUCUUCACCUAUGAGCCAGGAUGGGUGGUGUCACAAUUCCUAGGUGGCACUGAAAGAUUGCAUGAACUCACGUGGCCAGCUGUGAGUCCCACAAACUCAGUACUGUACCCGCGGAUAUCGUUACUGGGAUCCCAGCAGGUUGCAGGUUUUUUGGUUUUUGAAGCGGGGUCUCAGCCUGGGGUUCAGGCUGGGCCUGAACUCCCUAUGCAGCCCAGGCUGGCCUUAACUCUAGGCGGUCCUCCUGCCUCAGCCUCCGGAGUGCUGCUGGGAUGACAGUUGAGCAAAUCUUUGCAGAUUCGUGCUGGAUUAUCUCGUGUACCAAGAGGAUUUCUGAUGCUGUGCAGUAAGUUGCUAAGGGUUUCACUAUGCAAUUGAGGUUGGUCUUGAGCUCACUUUGUAUAUCAAGCUGGUCUUGAACUUGCAACGAUCCUCCUGCCUCAGCCUCUCAAGUGCUAGGAUUACAGCUUGGAAAGUAAGAAGCAUGAGUUGGGAGAAGGUUCUGGGAAAUGAAGAGAUAGUUCUGUGGUUGAACCCAUGGUGUUGUGGAUGCUAAGCAGGCAUUCUGCUGCUGAGAUAUAACCAACAAGAGAAGAAUGAUGUGGGUGGAUGAUGAUGAUUAUGAUGAUGACAAUGAUGACUUUGACAUUGACCAUAUGAGACAAAGUUCCUGUAACAGUGAAAUGGAGCAAGAAUUGACUGAUACAGACACAGGACUGGCCACGUGGUUGAAUGCUCCUCAGAUGCUAGGAAUAUGCAACAUCUGGAUGUGAUUCUCAAGAAGUUGUAUUCUCUCAUGUUGACAAGCCUACUGCAUGCAUGCAUGCCACAGCUGGCUGUUUACCAUUGAAAGCUCUAAAAGGUUUGCCAUCACUAUUAUAAGUCCAUUUGCUUAAAAUGAAGCUAGAAUUCAGGAUAGAGUAGAAAUAUGGAAAUAAUCUGGUACUGGACAACAUAAUGGUGUCACUAAAUUAACCAAAUUUGAAGCUUUUACUAUCUACAAUGGGACAUAAUUUUCCUUAUGUUAAAGCUCAUUUGAGGUUUCUUGUUACUUGCAGUCAAAAUAAUCCUGACUUACCAUUUUCAUUAUAAUUAUAGAUCUAUUUCUAAGCUCUAGUUUAUUAAACUGAUCAUUUUUUUACUAUUACAUAAUUUUAUAUAUGUGUAACUUCAUUUACAAUGACUUUGUAGUUUUACUGUUUUCUUAUUUGGAAAACCAAAAUCUUCAGCUCAACUACUGUUUUUUUCCAUGAUGUUUUUGCCAUUCUCAAAUGCUUAUUUUUUCAUAAUGAACUUUUCAUCUUAGAAUGGAAAAAAUGGAGUAUGAAAAAAUUUGAUAUGCAUACUGAACAUUAUAAGGCCCUUUAACAACCAACUAUAGACAAAACACUGAGAUAUUUUAAUCGAGACAUUUCCUUAUCACAUUUUCCUUGAACAAUUAAUAUUUCAUAUUUUGACAGAAGAGAACAAUCAUUCCAUAAUCAGAAAAAAUUGCUGAAGAAACACUCACUGAAAUGUAAGAACUGUCCUACUUACAAUAUUAUAUAGUUCUGAGUAUCAACAGUUGGAAGUCUAGAGAAUGCUGAGUUUCACAUUUUCUUCAUUUAACUAAAAACCUAGUAAUGCUGGUGGUGAAUUCAUUAUCAAAGAUAAUAGUUAAACUUAAUUUUUUUUUUGUCUUUUUCUUUUUUAUGGGUACCAGGGAUUGAACUCACGACCACACACUUGCAAGGGAGGCACUUAUGCCUCUGAGCUAAAUCCCAGCCCCUAAACUUAAUUCUUGAAGCAUUCCAUUGUAAUUUUUUUUUUUUAUCUCUGUGGGUCUAUAGCACUUGAUUCAAAAUAUGAAUUCUCUGAAGGGAAUUAAUUUUCCCUUUCCAAGUCUCAAUUUCUCAUAUUGUAGUGGUUUUUUUUUUCAUGUUUACACUAUUAUCAGAAUUACAAAAACUUUCCCAUGACCACCUUCCCAGUAAUUGUCUUGUUUAUUUUACAUCAUAGGCAAAUAUCAUAAGUUAACUGGAAAUAUGUUGCCUCAAUUUUGUCUCUAGAAGUAGCGUGAAUGGGUGGAAAGAGUGCUUGUCUAAGAAACAUCAGCUGUGGAAUUCACUAUUUCUAUCACUUUGGAUGACUAGGUAAAUCUCUAUAAAUCUCAUUUGCUUCUUCAUCUAUUAAAUGGAAAUACUAUUUAUUCCAGAAGUUUGCUGUAAGAAUAUGAGAGCUGGGGGAAGAGAAACAAAAUAAAACUAAACUCAUGGGAAUAAAAAAAGUAUCUGAGAAAAAGUUAUUAAAAGUUUUCAUCCAUUUCUUUCUUCACUAUAAUCUAUACUCCAUCUUGUAUUACAACUUAGUCCCUUAAAGAUCACCACUGACCAUUCUUGAAAUUUAAUCUAUAUAACCUUGGACUUAUCUUGGUUUUUAUUUUAUCCUGAUCAAUGAUUACUUCUCCCUUGCAUUGGAUAGUUUCAAAUACUCAAAUCUUGGUGGUCUGUCCUUCUUUUGUCAUCUAUAUUCUUUCCUUUUGAAAAAUGAUCCAAGUUUAUUGCUUUGGUGAUCAUGCCUUUGCUUAUGAUAUUACCUUCUCCACCUCACUUCUGUUUUCUCAGCUCCCUCAUUCUCAUACCUUUAUUACAUGUAUAAACCUUAAAUUCUCAAAAUGACCUUCAAGAAGAAAAA
Molecule: long non-coding RNA, 2903 nt
Organism: Cavia porcellus (domestic guinea pig)
Lineage: Eukaryota; Metazoa; Chordata; Mammalia; Rodentia; Caviidae
Exons: 8
Source: RefSeq, a predicted model, not a curated record